Molecule: transfer RNA, 81 nt
Filed under: Atopobium sp.
Lineage: Bacteria; Bacillati; Actinomycetota; Coriobacteriia; Coriobacteriales; Atopobiaceae
Description: tRNA-Leu
Rfam family: tRNA
About the family: Transfer RNA (tRNA) molecules are approximately 80 nucleotides in length. Their secondary structure includes four short double-helical elements and three loops (D, anti-codon, and T loops).
Source: RNAcentral
GGGAAAUUGGUGGAAUGGCAGACACGGUUGACUUAAAAUCAACUGCUCUCGGGCAUGAGGGUUCGAAUCCCUCAUUUCCCA